RNAcentral lists this ribosomal RNA (484 nucleotides) under uncultured bacterium. RNAcentral's name for it is "partial 16S ribosomal RNA". It matches the Rfam family "Bacterial small subunit ribosomal RNA", at positions 30 to 507 of the family's 1533-position model. The record is from RNAcentral.
AUUGAACGCUGGCGGCGGGCCUAACACAUGCAAGUCGAGCGGUGAAGGGUGGUUUGCGCCUUAAUUGAGCGGGGGACGGGUGGGUAAGUCCCGGGAGUGUGCUUGGUAUUGGGGGACAAGGUUUCAAAAGGAACGCAAUUACCGUAUCGCACCAACGGGAGAAACCAGGGGACUUUGGGUCCUUGCGCUAUUAGCUGCACCUAGGUCGGAUUAGCUGGUUGGUUAGGUAAUGGCUCACCAAGGGGACGACCAGUGACUGGUCUGAGAGGCUGACCAGCCACACUGGAACUGGGACACGGUCCAGACUCCUCCGGGAGGCAGCAGUGGGGAAUAUUGGACAAUGGGCGAAAGCCUGAUCCAGCCAUGCCGCGUGUGUGAGGAAGGUCUUCGGAUUGUAAAGCACUUUAAGUUGGGAGGACGGGUUGUAGAUUAAUACUCUGAAAUUUUGACGUUACCGACAGAAUAAGCACCGGCUAACUCUGUG